GUGACUACGUCCCUGCCCUUUGUACACACCGCCCGUCGCUCCUACCGAUUGAAUGGUCCGGUGAAGUGUUAGGAUCGCGGUGACGUGGGCGGUUCGCUGCCUACGACAUCGCGAGAAUUCCACUGAACCUUAUCAUUUAGAGGAAGGAGAAGUCGUAACAAGGUUUCCGUAGGUGAACCUGCGGAAGGAUCAUUG
RNAcentral lists this ribosomal RNA (195 nucleotides) under Anacyclus depressus. RNAcentral's name for it is "partial 18S ribosomal RNA". It matches the Rfam family "Eukaryotic small subunit ribosomal RNA", at positions 1641 to 1831 of the family's 1831-position model. Lineage: Eukaryota; Viridiplantae; Streptophyta; Magnoliopsida; Asterales; Asteraceae. The record is from RNAcentral.